GGCAUCCUAUAGUUGCAAAGCCCUUUUGGGAAUGUAAAGGGCGAUUAUUGGCUCACAAAGUGAAUAAUUAAAUUAGCCAAGGCUGAGGCAGUAUCAAUGGGUGGUGCCGUGGUGGUGGUAAUUAAGAACAGAGUAAUAGUUGAAGACACUCUGAGUGAAGUUCAAGAACGAAUAACAGUUGAGAUUAACUAAGGAAUUUGAAGCAGUAGAGGCACCAACUGACCAAAGCAAAUGUCCCUGUUAAAACCAAGCCAAACUAGUGAUCCUAACCUUGCAACCACAACAGAAACAUUGAAGGUUCUUGACUCAUAUGAAUCAGACAUAAUUAAGCUGGCUACAUGUUCUUUGGCAAGAUGGACCAAUCAUAAUACACUUAUUUCUAUGCUGAAGGAGAUAGGACCAGUAUACCAUGCCAUUUUUUGUCAUCAUCAGAUCAAGAUACAUUGAUACGCUCAAUUACUUUCUUGUGCCUUUUCAUAUGUUUUGUGUUAGGAAAAACAUCAACUAUCAAGUCUUUUUCAGAUGUUCGUGAAGCAUAGUAAUUUGACUUAUGCCAUAACACCUUUGUUAUUAGUGAAAACUCAUUUGCUGAAGUGGAUUUGAAAAAACUCUUCCUGCUAUAGUAUCGUUAUGCUUGUUGCACAAAAAAAAAAUUGAUAAGUUGUUGAUAUGGCAUUCUUGAUAUAAUGUAGUGUAGUAAAUAUUUUUACAAUAAUAGCAACAAGUCAACAAGAAUAAUGGUUGUUGUUGUUAUCAUCAAUCAUUUUAAUGUGCCAGCCAAAA
Long non-coding RNA from Quercus lobata, 783 nucleotides. RefSeq lists it as uncharacterized. The record is from RefSeq and is a predicted model, not a curated record. NCBI's taxonomy places the organism in Eukaryota, Viridiplantae, Streptophyta, Magnoliopsida, Fagales, Fagaceae. The transcript is spliced from 3 exons.